Epinephelus fuscoguttatus (brown-marbled grouper) is the source of this 6164-nucleotide RNA transcript. RefSeq lists it as uncharacterized. The transcript has 2 exons. NCBI's taxonomy places the organism in Eukaryota, Metazoa, Chordata, Actinopteri, Perciformes, Serranidae. The record is from RefSeq and is a predicted model, not a curated record.
ACAAGAUACAAGCAGAAAACGCUGUGUAGCGACUGUGAACCUAAAACUAUACUUUUUGCAUGUUGCAGGUAAGGUGGUGACGUUAUUGAGGGAUCCAGGGCUAAGAUAAUGUUUACACUGUACGUCAGGGGCACUGUAUUACGGUCCGUGAAUGUUCUUAGCGACUGUAUUUCACUGUGUAAUGCUAGCCAGUUAGCAGCUAAUGUACGGAGGGCGCCUGCUUUGGUAGUAGGGACACACGGGGCAGUAGACUUCACAAUGAACCCUCAUCACUCGUAUCUUUUAAGACUGGGUACAGUAACAUUGUGUGAAAUUGUUAUAUUAGUAUUUAUGUUUAUGUUAAUGUUUUGUCGUACAGUUUAUUAAGAAAUGUAGUGUUAUACUGAAUGCAGAUUAUUGGUAUAGAAAUGAAUGAGACAUAUUACCCUCAUGAGAUAGGGUGUAAAUCUUUUAUUUUAUGUAUUUGGUAUCUUGUUAUUGGUUAUUUGUUAUUAUGCUGAUCUGUUCUGUACGACAUCUAUUGCACAUCUGUCCGUCCUGGAAGAGGGAUCCCUCCUCAGUUGCUCUUCCUGAGGUUUCUACCAUUUUUUUCCCCGUUAAAGGGUUUUUUUGGGGAGUUUUUCCUUAUCCGCUGCGAGGGUCAUAAGGACAGAGGGAUGUCGUAUGCUGUAAAGCCCUGUGAGGCAAAUUGUGAUUUGUGAUAUUGGGCUUUAUAAAUAAAACUGAAUUGAAUUGAAUUAUUGUGAACAAGGGGCAUAAUGGGAAUCUCUGUGCACAAGAUACAAGCAGAAAACGCUGUGUAGCGACUGUGAACCUAAAACUAUACUUUUUGCAUGUUGCAGAAACACAUUAAAUGUGUAGCACCAGAUUGAGCCUGCGUGACAUCAUUUCAAUUCUUAGACGAUAGACACUAUUGUAUACUGUGCUUUUGGAGUAUUAUGUUUUAGCACAUGGGUCACUUCAAUAUUUGACUGAUUGUUCAAAUCAGCGGUGGCCUCACUAUACAUCAUCCCUUACUUAUUUCAAUUUAGAGUCAAUGAACAGUGACACAUUUCCUACAGAUGCACUAAUAACUCAGUCAAGAGCUCUCAUCCAUUUGGUAACAUCCUUGCGCACAGUUUUCCAGUGGUUCGAUGCCCACACCUUGUUGAGUGUUAUUUUUUCUGCCUGAGUGACCCCCGUUGUCAUGGCAUUCCCUCAACACCUCACACACCUGUUUUUGGUCCAUCACCACCAGUCGGGUUUGGUCAUUCCAUCUGUAAAACAGCUGCUCAUCUAUUGCAGCAGGGCAUUGAAUCAUUUUGUAUUUUAUUGUCCCUUAAGCUUAUAUCAUGAGUUGCAUCAGAUAUUAUUUGACAGGUGUAAAAACUCUGAUUUGAUGUGCUUAAGAAACUCAAAUGGAUUUGCACUUGCUGAAUAUUUGGAGAAAGCUUGGGAUUAAUUUAACAAACAAAAACAGCAUAUGUGAUUAUAUUUUGAUUUCUGGUGUAAAUUGUGUAGCCUCCGAUUAAAGGUGCAGUAAGUAAGUGCAUUUAGCAAAAAAAGAAAUAUAUUUUACUCCCCUAUUUUUAUUUUUUAUAUUUUAAAAAGUGUUAAAAUAUAUCACUUACUAGUGCAUUAAGUGAAGUGAAUGUAAUACUGUACACUGAUGUUUGUGGUGUCUGCCAUAAAAAUAAAAAUUCAUUCAUUCAUGAACCACACCUCACACAGUCACGUUAGCCUUCCAGAAAGCUAAAUUUGGAAGCUAAUUUAAUAUUCUUUAUCCAUAUACACCUCACACAGUCACGUUAGCUUUCCAGAAAGCUAAACUUGGAAGCUAAUUUAAUAUUCUUUACCCAUAUACACCUCACACAGCAAUGUUAGCUUUCCAGAAAGCUAAAUUUGGAAGCUAAUUUAAUAUUCUUUACCCAUAUACACCUCACACAGCCACGUUAGCUUUCUAGAAAGCUAAAUUUGGAAGCUAAUUUAAUAUUCUUUACCCAUAUGUUACGUGCCGUAGAGUUUGUGGUGUGUGUGUGGGUGUCUUUCUGUUUGUUUGUUACAGGUGUGUGUUGCAGGUGUGUUCCCUGAACGGCCUCGCAGCUGGUGCCAAUCAGGUGAAGGAUAAAGGAGAGUGGACCAAGGCCGCCGGCAGUCAGUAUGGACCGCUAGUGCUUCUGGGAACCGUCUCGCCACCACGUGUUUUAGUGUACCUCCUCGCAUUUCGUUAGUGUAAUACCAGUGUGUAGUGAUAUACCGUGUAGUGUCUAAAAUCCGGUGUUUUCUGAGUUUUUGUUUAGUUAAUAAAACAUUUCUCUUUUCUCUUCGGUAUGUAUUGUUUAUUUAAUAAUUACGGUUACUCCUGAAACCUCCUAGACAAGUUGGAACGUAACAAUUGGGGGCUCGUCCGGGAUCUUGCAGUUUUUUUACCAUUCGUGUUUAUGUCCGUGACCGUGAGUGUAUAUUGUGUAACGUGGAACGGCUUUCUCAGCUUAGACAGGGAGUGCCCAGCUGAGCCGGAGCGGCUUUUCCUUCGGGCAUUCAUUUAUUAUUUUUCCUUUUUUAUUUUCGAGGUCAAUCCUGGGCGGAGGCAGUGUUCUCCAAAGGGGGCUGGCGUUUCAAGGCUUUGGCCGUUGAUGUGUGCCUGUAAGUCGCCUCGAGCCCGGCACGGCUUCAGAAGAUAAAUUGGUAAGUGAAAGUAGGCAGGUGCUGGGAAAGUUUGUUUUCAUGUUGCAUAUGCUCUGUGGUAUUUGUGUCGGCGGACACUGAGCGAGGGCAAUUUGAUGUUGAACACUGUGGUGGCGUUACUUUGUGGUGAGCAUGGCGUUAGUGUUGGAUGAUUUUGUGGCUAAUCCCGAACUAAGCAGUCUCGAGAAGUGUAAGAAGGCUGUUUUGUUUGCUAUCGCUAACCACUACAGUAUUCAUGUGGCUCGUUCUCUCCGUAAAGACGAUUUGAGAGCAGCUGUGAUACGUGGUUUGUGUGACCGGGGUAUAUUGGUGUUGUCUGUGGAUCGUACCUCGGCUGUGGAGGUCAAUGCUGCAGCAGGGACACCCGAUGGUGAUGACCGCUCUGAUGUGCUCUCUGGAGCCGGUUCUCCUGUACACGAUGAGGCAGAGGCGACCGCUUGUGUUGAUGUGACUCCUCCGGUGCAGGUGGCAAAGCUUGAGGAAAAGCAUCCUUGCACGCUACCUCGUUUUGAUCCCGUCUCUCCAGAAUCUUCAGGUUCUAAGCUAGAUGCGCGGUUAAAGUUGCGGUUGGCUCGGCUCCAGAUGGAACAGGAAGAGAGAAGGGAAGAGAGGGAGUUUCAGCUUAGAAGGGAGCUGGAGCUCAGGAAAAUGGAUAUAGAGAGAGAGGCUCUUAAAGUGCGCCAGUUAGAGCUCCAGAAGACCCCAGUGAGUCUCGCGUCCAGUGCGCAAAAUGUUCCUGUCUUGCCAGCAGCAUUUGAUGUAAGUAAGCACAUUUCUCUGGUUCCAGUUUUCUGUGAAUCGGAGGUUGAGGCUUAUUUUGGAGCUUUUGAAAGGAUUGCCGGUGCCUUGAAUUGGCCCGUGAAUGUGUGGGCAAUCUUGCUACAAUGUAAACUGGUCGGAAAAGCUCAAGAAGCGCGUUCAGCUCUUUCCGUGGAGGAUGGUCUCGAUUACAAGAAGGUUAAAGGCGCUAUUCUUCGGGCUUAUGAGUUAGUGCCUGAGGCAUAUAGACAGCGUUUUCGCAGCCUUUGUAAAAUGCCUGACCAGUCAUACAUUGAUUUCGCAAGAGAAAAGGAAACUCUCUUUGAUCGGUGGUGUACAGCUAGUAAAGCUGAUAAGUUGGUGUCUGUGCGUGAGCUGAUGUUGCUGGAGAAGUUUAAAAACUGCCUCCCUGAGCGCACAGCUGUUUAUUUAAAUGAGCAAAAGGUUUCCACUCUGCAACAAGCUGCAAAACUUGCGGAUGAGUUUACACUUACGCAUAAAACUGUGUUUGUGAAGAGAGACUCCUUUCAAAAUAAAUCCACCUCCAAGCCUGACAUCCAGGUGCGUAGUAUCAACUCUGUAGGCCCUAAGCCUGAUAGACCAUGCUAUUACUGCCUUAAGUCUGGCCACCUUAUUGCAGACUGUGAAGCAUGGAAGCAAAGACAGAAGAUGGCUUCAAAACAGCCAAAGGGGGUUGGGUUAAUAAAUACCUCGCCCAGGGCAUCCAUUGAGUCCCUAGCUCCUGAAAUACCUGAUUGUUUUAAACCUUUUACUUGUGAUGGAUUUGUGUCUGUUUCAGGAAAUGCUGAGGACCAGCGCCCGAUUAAGAUCUUGCGAGAUACAGCGUGUUCACAAUCACUAAUCCUCUCCAGUGUGCUACCUUUGAAUACCAGGUCUGAGGAAAGUGCUGUGGUAAGGGGUAUCGAGAUGGGGUUUGUACCUGCACCUCUAUAUUAUGUUCAUGUGACGUCAGAGAUAGCUACUGGGUUCUUUAAGGUGGGUGUCCGUGCAGAGUUUCCUGUUAAUGGUAUUGACUUCAUCAUGGGAAACGACAUUGCAGGGGGUAAGGUUUAUCCUGUCCCUAAGAUGGUGGAUGUGCCUAUUCGGGAGUCUCAUGAUGAUGUAGCCAUCGGGCACCCUGAUGUGUUUGUGGCUAGUGUGCUAACUAGAGCUCAGGCUCAUAAAAAUGUACAGGAGGUUAAUCUUGCUGACUCAAUACUGGGUUCUGCUCUCUCUAAAGAAGAGUCGCCCUCCAGUGGUGGUGCCGUAAGCAGCAGGAUCACGGAGCCUGAAAAGGAGACGGUGUCUAUGACCGAUUCACCGGUGCCGUUGACGCGUGAGGCCCUCAUCAAAGCUCAGGGAAGUGACCCAUCGCUUGCUAAGUGCUGGGCUGCUGUUGUUGAUAAAUCUAAGUGUAGCUAAAAGCAGCCCUUUUUCGUGGAGGAGGAUGUGUUGAUGCGCAGGUGGGUCGCACCUACACACAGCCAGCGAGACAGGCGACGAGUCAGGGGUGGUGUAUGAGGUAGUGCUCCCUGGUAACUAUCGUCAACAGGUGUUAGUGCUAGGUCAUGAACAUGUGUGGUCGGGUCAUUUGGGCGUUACCAAAUCCUAUAACCGUGUACUUAAGCACUUUUUCUGGCCAGGAAUGAGGUCGGAAGUUGCACAUUUCUGCAGAACCUGCCCAACGUGCCAAAUUGUGGGUAAACCAAAUCAGCCCAUCCCUCUUGCUCCUCUGCAGCCCAUCCCAGCCAUAGGGGAACCCUUUGAACAUGUGCUGGUUGACUGCGUUGGGCCUCUCCCUAGAACAAAGUUAGGAAAUCAAUUUUUACUCACUCUGAUGUGUAUUAACACCCGUUUUCCUGAAGCUAUUCCCCUCCGUAAAAUCACUGCGGCAUCAGUCACGAAGGCUUUAACCAAGUUCUUCACCACAUUUGGCCUCCCAAAAAUUGUACAGACUGAUCAGGGCACCAAUUUUCUGUCUAAGGUUUUCAAGCAAAUGCUUAGUUCAUUGGGUGUCUCCCAUUCUGUGGCCAGCGCCUAUCAUCCAGAGUCCCAGGGUGCUCUCGAACGCUGGCACCAAACCCUUAAGUCUAUGCUAAAAAAGUUUUGCCAUGAGACAGGGAAAGACUGGGAUGAGGGAGUACCAUUUGUUCUUUUUGCCAUUCGGGAUGCAAAGCAGGAAUCCCUGGGGUUUAGCCCAGCAGAGUUAGUGUUUGGACAUAAUGUGCGUGGUCCACUCAAAGUACUACAGGAGCAGUUAGUGUGCAGCUCCCCGCCUAAGACUAAUGUGACAGAUUUUGUCUUUCGGUGUAGAGAGCGGCUGCAGUGAGCUGUCAAGUUGGCUAAAGAAGCACUGUCCGUCUCUCAAAUGAAUAUGAAAAAGAGGUUUGAUAAAAAAGCAGUUAAGCGACAGUUCCAGCCUGGUGAUACAGUGUUGAUGUUGCUGCCCACACCUGGUGCUGCGCUCACUGCACGGUUCUCAGGUCCAUAUGUGGUGGACAGGAGAGUCUCUGAAACAGACUACGUCAUUCGUACACCUGAGCGAAGAAGGAAAACCUGUGUGUGUCAUGUUAACAUGUUAAAAUCUUAUCAUUCCAGAGGUACUGCUGGGAGAGAGCCGCAGCCCUCAGAGGUCAAGGUGGUAGGGGUUUCUUCCUUGGUGGAGAUGCAGCCGGAGGAGACAGACUUGGUGAUGCCCUGUGACAGUCAUCGGUGUGAUGUACAACAGUAACCAGCGC